AGAAAUGUGGCUUAAUGGUAAAGUGCUUGCCUAGUAUGCAUGAAGCCCUGGGUUCAAUUCCUCAAUACCA
Molecule: transfer RNA, 70 nt
Filed under: Dipodomys ordii (Ord's kangaroo rat)
Lineage: Eukaryota; Metazoa; Chordata; Mammalia; Rodentia; Heteromyidae
Rfam family: tRNA
About the family: Transfer RNA (tRNA) molecules are approximately 80 nucleotides in length. Their secondary structure includes four short double-helical elements and three loops (D, anti-codon, and T loops). Further hydrogen bonds mediate the characteristic L-shaped molecular structure. tRNAs have two regions of fundamental functional importance: the anti-codon, which is responsible for specific mRNA codon recognition, and the 3' end, to which the tRNAs corresponding amino acid is attached (by aminoacyl-tRNA synthetases). tRNAs cope with the degeneracy of the genetic code in two manners: having more than one tRNA (with a specific anti-codon) for a particular amino acid; and 'wobble' base-pairing, i.e. permitting non-standard base-pairing at the 3rd anti-codon position.
Source: Rfam by way of RNAcentral